This is a long non-coding RNA of Ictidomys tridecemlineatus (thirteen-lined ground squirrel), 2516 nucleotides long. RefSeq lists it as uncharacterized. Lineage: Eukaryota; Metazoa; Chordata; Mammalia; Rodentia; Sciuridae. The record is from RefSeq and is a predicted model, not a curated record.
UCUUUGCACAAUAUUUUACUUAAAUAACAUCUUUCUGCCUGUCAUUGAUUCCUUUUAUUUAGUUUUUGUCAGCUAAAAACUUGAUUGGUUUUCCAACUUUUGUUGAAAGCAGAGCCUUAGAAACCACUGGACUUCCCAGAUGUUUUACCCAGACACUUGGGGUCAUUCCCUUUUCUUUUUCUAGGAAAUUUACCAAAAACCACUACCCAGGUACAUUUGUGAUGUCUGUUGCUCUUCGUUUGAAGGCAUAUUUGCCAAUACAGUUUUUUAAAGUUAAAAACUCACUACUGGGUAUAAAUGUUUUUGUCAGACCUUGUACAACCACAGAUUGAAAUCACUAAAUUUAUAGGAUAUGUUCUAAAUAACCCACUUGUUGAAUGCAGACCUCACUGUCAAGCCAGUCAGCCAAAUUACAGUUAACCCUGUCCAAAAAAAGAUCUGGAAGAAUAUGAACCAUUGAAAAAUGGCACACUGCUAUGGAUUUUUAGGGUUUGGCUGUGGUGCACCGCCCCCCCCUUGCAAAAACAAAAACAAAAACUGUGGCCAUGCAGGAAUGCUCAAAGGUGAAAUGAUUAGAUUAUGAGAGCUGUGACCUGAUCAGUGGGUUAAUCCAAGUGAUAGAGUAAUCAUUUGAAUGGCCUAAUCUGGUGUUAACUAGGGCAGGUGGGCAUGGCUAGAGGAAGUGGGUCUCUAGGGAUGUGCCUUGGGGAUUAUAUAUCUUGUCCCUCUGCUUCCUUGUUGCCUGUCCUAAGCUGCUUUCCUUCCCCACACCCUUCUGCCAUGAUGUUCUGUCUCACCUUGGGCCCAGAGCUGUGGAGUUGGCUGACCGUAGACUGAACCUCUGAAACCAUUAGCCCAGAUAAACUUCUCCCUCUAAAUUGUUUUUGUUAGGUAUUUUGGUCACAGAGAGCAAAGCUGACUGUUACUUGGACGUGAGGUAUCCCCCAAAAGUUCACAUGUGAGACAGUGCAAGAACAAGAGGAGAAAUGAUUGGUUGAAAGAGUCUUAACCCAAUCAGUGCCUUAAUCCUCUGAUAGGGAUUAACUGAGUGGUAACUGGAGUAGUAGGGUGUGGCUUGGCGUGUAUAUUUGUGUCUGGCCAAUGGAGUCUCUCUCUGCUUUUUGAUCAUCAUGUGAGAUGAUUCCCUCUGCCACACUCUUCUACCAUGAUGUUCGGCCUCACCUAGAACACUGAGGAAUGGAUCUGGCCUUUUAUGAACGAAGACCUCAGAAAUUAUCCCCCUCCUCCUGUUGGUGAGGGGAGCCUGCCGCCCAGCAGACCACAGCCCCCAUUUGCUGUAGUGACUGCUGCAGCAUGGGUCAGCGCCUCAGGCAGGACCUGUCUUCCCAGGCCUUCUGCUUCCUUCCCAGGAAGUAGAGAGGGAGCCCCAGAAGCCAGCCUGCCCCCUCCAGAGCAUGUCCUCCCAGCCCAUCUCCUCUCCUGCUCCACCCUCCUGCUUCUGCACUCCUCCCCAGCUCCUAAGGCCUCACACCACGUGCACUGCAAGCAGCCACCUGCCUUACCUGCCCUGUGAGGACCCCCCACUCCUGGGCCACACUUUCUCAUGCCCUAAGUGUCUGGGCAGGCUUUGUUUUUGGCACUGGAGCCUAAAGGUCUUGAUGAGACUGAAGUGGCACUGCCACCAGAGGAGCCAGUCCUGCCCAGAGAAACAAUAAUUUGCUGAAUGGCAAUGAAUUCACACCUGCCAUUCAGGGGCUGCCAUUCACUGAACACCUGCAGGUCACCUGAUAGGCAGGCAACUGCUGAAUCUUUCAUCCCAUUCCAAUAUGAAUUUCUAAUAUUGAUUCUGCCGGUUAUCGUGACGAAUUCAGCUUCCUCACAUGUUGAAGAUUUACAUCCCAAAUGAAGGCUUUGUCCUCUGCAACCUUGUUAUGAAGCACUCAUCCCCAGAUGACUUUACGACUGUUCUUCCCCAACCAGACUUCAAUCCGACCUGACUUCCAAAAGGGAACUGCUUGCCCCACACUGCCCCCUUCCAGCUUGAAGAAGCCAGAACAGUCGUUGUCCCUUUUCCUUACAGCAGUAAGGAGCUCCUAAAAUCGGGUGGGGGUGUAGCCAGAAUUAGACAGGCUGUCAGUAUAGAUGGGUAAAUCGAGUCAGGUCAGAUCACGGAAGCCAAUUUUGAGUGAGUCUGGGAAGUUGGAGACUGUCCCCUGAAGGAUUGAGAUGUUAAUUCUUUCAGAGCCCUUCCUCCACCCUUAUCAAGAACUUCCCCCUGCUCCACUGUUGCCAAGGUAACGAGUCCCAGAAAUUGCCCCUCCCUACAGGAAGCCAUAAGGUUGUCCUUGACUGCUCCAUCCUGCCCUUCCCCCUCAGCCCACCUGUUUCCCACCUUUUGGGCAUCCCACCAGCAUUUCCUAGGCUUACUCACAUACUCAGAAGAAAGAUAAGGGGAAGAGGGCAGGAGAAGAAAGGAAAUCUAGGACAUAUAAAGAAGGCAGAACACGGGAGAAGUCUGUUACCGCUUUUUAAAUAAACCCUACUUCACAUGCUUG